RNAcentral lists this ribosomal RNA (525 nucleotides) under Escherichia coli. RNAcentral's name for it is "bacterial SSU rRNA". It matches the Rfam family "Bacterial small subunit ribosomal RNA", at positions 82 to 603 of the family's 1533-position model. The record is from RNAcentral. Lineage: Bacteria; Pseudomonadati; Pseudomonadota; Gammaproteobacteria; Enterobacterales; Enterobacteriaceae.
UCUUUGCUGACGAGUGGCGGACGGGUGAGUAAUGUCUGGGAAACUGCCUGAUGGAGGGGGAUAACUACUGGAAACGGUAGCUAAUACCGCAUAACGUCGCAAGACCAAAGAGGGGGACCUUCGGGCCUCUUGCCAUCGGAUGUGCCCAGAUGGGAUUAGCUAGUAGGUGGGGUAACGGCUCACCUAGGCGACGAUCCCUAGCUGGUCUGAGAGGAUGACCAGCCACACUGGAACUGAGACACGGUCCAGACUCCUACGGGAGGCAGCAGUGGGGAAUAUUGCACAAUGGGCGCAAGCCUGAUGCAGCCAUGCCGCGUGUAUGAAGAAGGCCUUCGGGUUGUAAAGUACUUUCAGCGGGGAGGAAGGGAGUAAAGUUAAUACCUUUGCUCAUUGACGUUACCCGCAGAAGAAGCACCGGCUAACUCCGUGCCAGCAGCCGCGGUAAUACGGAGGGUGCAAGCGUUAAUCGGAAUUACUGGGCGUAAAGCGCACGCAGGCGGUUUGUUAAGUCAGAUGUGAAAUCCC